This 548-nucleotide ribosomal RNA is filed under the name uncultured bacterium. Its description in RNAcentral is "bacterial SSU rRNA". It matches the Rfam family "Bacterial small subunit ribosomal RNA", at positions 356 to 896 of the family's 1533-position model. The record is from RNAcentral.
GGGGAAUUUUGGACAAUGGGCGCAAGCCUGAUCCAGCCAUGCCGCGUGUCUGAAGAAGGCCUUCGGGUUGUAAAGGACUUUUGUCAGGGAAGAAAAGGCUGUCGCUAAUACCGACAGUUGAUGACGGUACCUGAAGAAUAAGCACCGGCUAACUACGUGCCAGCAGCCGCGGUAAUACGUAGGGUGCGAGCGUUAAUCGGAAUUACUGGGCGUAAAGCGAGCGCAGACGGUUACUUAAGCAGGAUGUGAAAUCCCCGGGCUCAACCUGGGAACUGCGUUCUGAACUGGGUGACUAGAGUGUGUCAGAGGGAGGUAGAAUUCCACGUGUAGCAGUGAAAUGCGUAGAGAUGUGGAGGAAUACCGAUGGCGAAGGCAGCCUCCUGGGAUAACACUGACGUUCAUGCUCGAAAGCGUGGGUAGCAAACAGGAUUAGAUACCCUGGUAGUCCACGCCCUAAACGAUGUCAAUUAGCUGUUGGGCAACUUGAUUGCUUAGUAGCGUAGCUAACGCGUGAAACUGACCGCCUGGGGAGUACGGUCGCAAGAUUA